Molecule: long non-coding RNA, 263 nt
Organism: Peromyscus californicus insignis
Lineage: Eukaryota; Metazoa; Chordata; Mammalia; Rodentia; Cricetidae
Exons: 2
Source: RefSeq, a predicted model, not a curated record
CGGAGAGCUCUCUUGGCUGAAGAGGAUCCCUGAACCAGGAAGGAUACUGGCUGAAGCCUGGGCAUGCUUUGCCAAAUCCUGGGGGCCUCCUCACUCUGUUUCUCAGAGCCUCCCUCCUCUUUGUGCCUGGUAGCUGCUCCUCCACCUCCAAUGUUACUCACCCUGCCUGCUUUCUAUCACACUCCCCCUUAACAACUGCUGAAAUUUAUGGCUUGCCUGUGCUACUUUUACCUUAAUCACUAAUGAAAUUGUCCACAAGCUUC